Molecule: unclassified non-coding RNA, 201 nt
Filed under: Hevea brasiliensis (rubber tree)
Lineage: Eukaryota; Viridiplantae; Streptophyta; Magnoliopsida; Malpighiales; Euphorbiaceae
Source: RNAcentral
AAAGGGUUUCAUCCUACAACAACUCAGCUUUUAAAGCACCCUUUGGCUAUGGUUGCUUUGAUUCCCAGAGAAGCUGCAUUGUUUGCUGCAGGUGCUAUUGCUGGUGCCGCUGCAAAAUCUGUUACUGCACCUCUUGACCGUAUCAAGCUCCUCAUGCAGACACAUGGACUAAGAGCUGGGCAAGAAGCUGCAAAGAAAGGA